UGCAAGUCGAACGAACCUUCGGGUUAGUGGCGGACGGGUGAGUAACGCGUGAGAAUCUGCCCUCAGGAGGGGGAUAACAGUUGGAAACGACUGCUAAUACCCCAUAUGCCGAGAGGUGAAACGAAUUUCGCCUGGGGAUGAGCUCGCGUCUGAUUAGCUUGUUGGUGGGGUAAUGGCCUACCAAGGCUUUGAUCAGUAGCUGGUCUGAGAGGACGAUCAGCCACACUGGGACUGAGACACGGCCCAGACUCCUACGGGAGGCAGCAGUGGGGAAUUUUCCGCAAUGGGCGAAAGCCUGACGGAGCAACGCCGCGUGAGGGAUGAAGGCCUUUGGGCUGUAAACCUCUUUUCUCAAGGAAAAAGAUCUGACGGUACUUGAGGAAUAAGCCACGGCUAAUUCCGUGCCAGCAGCCGCGGUAAUACGGGAGUGGCAAGCGUUAUCCGGAAUUAUUGGGCGUAAAGCGUCCGCAGGCGGCCGUUUGAGUCUGUUGUUAAAUUGUGGAGCUCAACUCCAUCACGGCAAUGGAAACUGUUCGGCUUGAGUAUGGUAGGGGCAGAGGGAAUUUCCGGUGUAGCGGUGAUAUGCGUAGAUAUCGGGAAGAACACCUGUGGCGAAAGCGCUCUGCUGGGCCAUUACUGACGCUCAUGGACGAAAGCCAGGGGAGCGAAAUGGAUUAGAUACCCAUGUAGUCCCGGCCGUAAACGAUGAACACUAGAUGUUGGGGGAAUCGACCCCCUCAGUGUCGUAGCUAACGCGUUAAGUGUUCCGCCUGGGGAGUACGCACGCAAGUGUGAAACUCAAAGGAAUUGACGGGG
Molecule: ribosomal RNA, 816 nt
Filed under: uncultured bacterium
Lineage: Bacteria
Description: bacterial SSU rRNA
Rfam family: Bacterial small subunit ribosomal RNA
Source: RNAcentral